GGAAGGUGGGGAGUGACGUCAAAUCAUCAUGCCCCUUAUGACCUGGGCUACAAACGUGAUACAAUGGCUGGAACAAAGAGAUGCGAAGCAGUGAUGUGGAGCGAAACCCAAUAAAAACAGUCUCAGUUCGGAUUGAAGUCUGCAACUCGACUUCAUGAAGUCGGAAUCGCUAGUAAUCGCGGAUCAGAACGCCGCGGUGAAUACGUUCUCGGGGCUU
This 217-nucleotide ribosomal RNA is filed under the name uncultured Acholeplasma sp. RNAcentral's name for it is "partial 16S ribosomal RNA". It matches the Rfam family "Bacterial small subunit ribosomal RNA", at positions 1168 to 1382 of the family's 1533-position model. Lineage: Bacteria; Bacillati; Mycoplasmatota; Mollicutes; Acholeplasmatales; Acholeplasmataceae. The record is from RNAcentral.